This 253-nucleotide ribosomal RNA is filed under the name uncultured bacterium. Its description in RNAcentral is "partial 16S ribosomal RNA". It matches the Rfam family "Bacterial small subunit ribosomal RNA", at positions 524 to 776 of the family's 1533-position model. The record is from RNAcentral.
UACGGGGGGGGCAAGCGUUGUUCGGAAUUACUGGGCGUAAAGAGCGUGUAGGCGGCCUGACAAGUCUGCUGUGAAAACUCGAGGCUCAACCUCGAGAUGUCGGCGGAAACUGUCUGGCUAGAGUCCGGGAGAGGUGAGUGGAACUGCGAGUGUAGAGGUGAAAUUCGUAGAUAUUCGCAAGAACACCAGUGGCGAAGGCGGCUCACUGGCCCGAUACUGACGCUGAGGCACGAAAGCGUGGGGAGCAAACAGG